CAGCCGCCGCGGUAAUACGAAGGGCCCGAGCGUUAAUCGGAAUCACUGGGCUUAAAGCGUACGUAGGCGGAUGCGCAGGCAUCGUGUGAAAUCCCUCCGCUCAACGGAGGAACUGCACGGUGAACCGCGUGUCUUGAGAUUGGUAGGGGCUGUCGGAACGAUAGGUGGAGUGGUGAAAUGCGUUGAUAUCUAUCGGAACGCCGAAGGAGAAGUCAGGCAGCUGGGCCAAUUCUGACGCUGAGGUACGAAAGCGUGGGGAGCGAACGGGAUUAGAUACCCCGGUAGUCCACGCCGUAAACGAUGUGCACUAGGUCGAGGACACUCUGACGUGAUUCUGGUCGAAGCAAAAGUGUUAAGUGCACCGCCUGGGGAGUACGGUCGCAAGGCUAAAACUCAAAGGAAUUGACGGGGGCUCACACAAGCGGUGGAGCAUGUGGCUUAAUUCGAAACAACGCGAAGGACCUUAUCCUGGGUUUGACAUGUAUGAAUUAGCUUCCUGAAAGGGAAGUGACGCCCUUGUGGUGGAACAUACACAGGUGCUGCAUGGCUGUCGUCAGCUCGUGCUGUGAAAUGUCGGGUUAAGUCCCUUAACGAGCGACACCCCUAUCGCUAGUUGCCAUCAGGUAAUGCUGGGGACUCUAGCGAGACUGCCGGUGUUAAACCGGACGAAGGUGGGGAUGACGUCAAGUCCGCAUGGCCUUUAUGCCCAGGGCUGCACACGUGCUACAAUGGCAGGUACAGAACGAAGCAAUACCGCGAGGUGGAGCAAAUCGCAAAAACCUGCCCCAGUUCGGAUUGCAGGCUGCAACUCGCCUGCAUGAAGUUGGAAUCGCUAGUAAUCGGGGAUCAGCUACGCCCCGGUGAAUACGUUCCUGAGCCUUGUACACACCGCCCGUCAAGUCAUGGAAGCUGGCAGCGCCCGAAGUCCGCCACGAUUCAGUGGUGCCCACGGCGAGGCUGGUGACUGGGACUAAGUCGUAACAAGGUAACCGUA
RNAcentral lists this ribosomal RNA (994 nucleotides) under uncultured Planctomycetota bacterium. RNAcentral describes it as "bacterial SSU rRNA". It matches the Rfam family "Bacterial small subunit ribosomal RNA", at positions 509 to 1504 of the family's 1533-position model. The record is from RNAcentral. Lineage: Bacteria; Pseudomonadati; Planctomycetota.